CCCUUAGAUGUUCUGGGCCGCACCCGCGCUACACUGAAGGAGGCAGCGUGUACUCCUGGAUCGAAAGAUUUGGGUAACCCGCGAAUCUCCUUCGUGCUAGGGAUUGAGGUUUGCAAUUAUCCUUCAUGAACGAGGAAUUCCCAGUAAGUGCAAGUCAUAAGCUUGCGCUGACUACGUCCCUGCCCUUUGUACACACCGCCCGUCGCUACUACCGAUUGAAUGAUUUAGUGAGGACUUCGGACUGGGACCGAUGCGGCUUUCGGGCUGCGUCGGUAUUCUGGAAAGAUGUCCAAACUGUAUCAUUUAGAGGAAGUAAAAGUCGUAACA
This 327-nucleotide ribosomal RNA is filed under the name uncultured eukaryote. RNAcentral describes it as "partial 18S ribosomal RNA". It matches the Rfam family "Eukaryotic small subunit ribosomal RNA", at positions 1470 to 1796 of the family's 1831-position model. The record is from RNAcentral.